UACGUAGGGUGCGAGCGUUAAUCGGAAUUACUGGGCGUAAAGUGUGCGCAGGCGGCUUCGCAAGUCGAGUGUGAAAUCCCCGAGCUUAACUUGGGAAUUGCGCUCGAAACUACGGAGCUGGAGUGUGGCAGAGGAAGGUGGAAUUCCACGUGUAGCGGUGAAAUGCGUAGAGAUGUGGAGGAACACCGAUGGCGAAGGCAGCCUUCUGGGCCAACACUGACGCUCAGGCACGAAAGCGUGGGGAGCAAACAGG
RNAcentral lists this ribosomal RNA (253 nucleotides) under uncultured bacterium. RNAcentral's name for it is "partial 16S ribosomal RNA". It matches the Rfam family "Bacterial small subunit ribosomal RNA", at positions 524 to 776 of the family's 1533-position model. The record is from RNAcentral.